UGCUUAUUACAGAUAGUGCACGGUGCUAAGUACCCCAGGACUACAGGAAAAAAUAAGAAUACGUGCUGUAUCCAUGAUCAGGAGGCACACAGGCCACAGUGCCAGCUGUGGAAUCACACAGCCCGGGUUCAAAGCCCAGCUGGGCCAUGACCACCUGAAGGACUUGUGGGAAGGUCUUAGGUAAAUUUGUGAAAAGAAGUGGAGACCCUGCCUGCCAGGAAGGGAUGUGGUAAGGGGCAGCAUCCAGUCAGUUCAGGGCACGGCAUCCUCUCCCUGGAAACCUGCAUAGCGGGACUGGUGGCCCUAGCUGCCAGGGCCGCCAUGGAGAAGACGGGCCUGGCUUCAGGCGGCACAGAGGCACUGGAACAGCCCUGGGGGAACUUGGUAGGAUGCGGGUGGCCCUGUGCUGGGCUUCCAGCAGAUUCUGGCCCUGUAACCCAGGAGAUAGGGCCGGGCAAUACAGGGCCACUGGGUGCCAAGACAGUGCCCAGGCCAAGCGCCAGGUGGAAAGGGCUCUGAUAUGUCAGCCCUGCAUCCCCCACAGCCUCACAGAGGGGCCCAUCAGGGGCCACAUACCUGCCCCCGGGAGCAGGAUGUCACCAGGUGUGAGAGAGUCCUGCUGGGUUCUGCGGAGGCGGGAGUGGUGGGGGUGGGGCUCUCCCUUUUGCCCUUUGACCCCUCUGGUAGGCGCCCUAGGACGGGGGUGCUCCCGCGCGCUUCUGCGCGCCCUGGUUCUGUCACCAGCCCCAUUGGGACGUCACAAGCGCUCAGCUGCCCAGUGCGCGCCUGGCGAAAGAGAAGUGAGCGACUACGGAGCAGCGUCUCCAUUACUGACCGUUUUCUCGCCAUUGUACCCGCACAACUUGCUCUAAAUGGGCAAUUUAUUAAGUAUAUUUCGUCCCGGGUCCCGCCGCAGACCCCUGCCGGGCCGUCGCUCACAAGCUCCCAUAGCCCGUGAGUCCUCUCAGCCUGGCCCGGCUCACCCUGCGGCGCCCACGCCUACCCCGGGCCCUUUCCGAUUCCUCUUCAACCCUCAGCAGAGCCGUGGGCCUUCUCCAGUCAACUUCUACAGCGCCCCUAGGGAACCGUGUCCUCUCCCGCCAGACACGGACGUCCCCCUGGGGAUCCUGCCUGCUGUGGGCGGCCGGCUCCCCUCAAGGAAGAAACCUGUGCUGUCUGCUCGCAACUCCAUGAUGCUGGGACACCCCAGCUCCGUGAGGAUACCUCCUCCCAGCAGCCAGUUCCCUCUCCAACUGCCUUCGCCACUUGAGCAGGUGACCGGGGCUAGGAAGCUGAUUCCGAUCCCAGCCAGGCUGCCGAAUAAGACCAAGAAACAGAAUUGGGUGUUCUUCAUCUGGGCUUUUGUCCUGCCCACACCCAGCAGGCGCACAGCCUGUAAAGCAGGAAAAGGAACCAAGCUGAAGGAGGCAGAAACUCCGCAGCCAGCAAGGAGGAGGCACUAUCUCCCUGCAGUACAAAUUCACCAAGAGCUUAGAGAGAUGAAGAGAGAUGCCAGGAAGAAGAGAGAUGCCAGGAAACAGAAGCCCACAGAAUCAUGAGAAGAUGGGGGCCUGCUGGCAGAGCUGGGGCUUGGCUGUGGUCACUCUGGAGCUACCCUGUGGUGUUUUUCUGAGUGGUGGAAAGAAUAGAGAUAAUAUGGAGCCCACAAAGGAAGCUCAAGCAGUAACAUAGCAAGAGGGAAAACAACUCAAAGGGAAGAGGCCCACGGUCUUCUUUCUUUGUGACUUCUACUGUCAGGGAGGCUCCUUAUUUAUAAAGAACAUGACUGUGUUUAUCUCCCAAGUUCUCACCCCAAGAUUAAUGUGUUCAGAAAGACUUGAGCCAUCAACAGUUAGAGGAGAAGUUGCACUGAUGCGUGAGGGAUGCAUUUUGACAAUUUGUGAUCCAGUUAUUUUUCUUAUGUUAAUGACCCAAUCUCAGAAACCAUUAAAAGUUUCUGGUAUCCCAACUAAUCUUAUCUGGGGAAAAGUUCUUUCAACUGGAAACUGUGUUCACCUGGCAUAAGGAAAAAGUUGGUAAAAUCUAAAGGAAUCCUCAGACUUAUUAAUAAAAUUGUGCCCAG
This 2083-nucleotide long non-coding RNA is filed under the name Rhinopithecus bieti (black snub-nosed monkey). Its description in RNAcentral is "lncRNA (ENSRBIG00000045541.1)". The record is from RNAcentral. Lineage: Eukaryota; Metazoa; Chordata; Mammalia; Primates; Cercopithecidae.